UCUUCAAAACCCCACCGCCCACA
RNAcentral lists this non-coding RNA (23 nucleotides) under Mus musculus (house mouse). The record is from RNAcentral. Lineage: Eukaryota; Metazoa; Chordata; Mammalia; Rodentia; Muridae.